GGUCUGGUGGUGUAGCGGUAAACACGUCUGCUUACGUUGAAAUAGUACGUAAGGAGUUUCGCAGAGGGUUCCUUGUUCGAAUCAAGGUCGGGCGG
Mycena epipterygia is the source of this 95-nucleotide non-coding RNA. The record is from the annotation of a GenBank genome assembly. Lineage: Eukaryota; Fungi; Basidiomycota; Agaricomycetes; Agaricales; Mycenaceae.